This 498-nucleotide ribosomal RNA is filed under the name uncultured bacterium. RNAcentral's name for it is "partial 16S ribosomal RNA". It matches the Rfam family "Bacterial small subunit ribosomal RNA", at positions 28 to 507 of the family's 1533-position model. The record is from RNAcentral.
GAUGAACGCUGGCGGCGUGCCUAAUACAUGCGAGUCGAGCGAACAGACGAGAGUGCUUGCACUCUCUGACGUUAGCGGCGGACGGGUGAGUAACACGUGGGUAACCUACCUAUAAGACUGGGAUAACUUCGGGAAACCGGAGCUAAUACCGGAUAAUAUUUAGCUUCGCAUGGAGCAAUAGUGAAAGACGGUUCUGCUGUCACUUAUAGAUGGACCCGCGGUGUAUUAGCUAGUUGGUGAGGUAACGGCUCACCAAGGCAACGAUACAUAGCCGACCUGAGAGGGUGAUCGGCCACACUGGGACUGAGACACGGCCCAGACUCCUACGGGAGGCAGCAGUAGGGAUCUUCCGCAAUGGACGAAAGUCUGACGGAGCAAUGCCGCGUGAGUGAAGAAGGUUUUCGGAUCGUAAAACUCUGUUGUAAGGGAAGAACAAGUACGUUAGUAACUGAACGUACCUUGACGGUACCUUACCAGAAAGCCACGGCUAACUACGUG